AAAAGAAGAAGAAGAAGAAAAGAAGAAAAAAAAGAAAAAAAAAGAGUAAUGGCGAAGAACUACAAGAAAUGUUCUGUUGUUGGCUGUAGGGAUGCGCAUAAAUCACUCCUUAACCUCCCAGGAGAACAGGACAGACGAGUAGAGUGGCUCAAAUUCAUUUUUGAUGGAGAUAUCCCAGAUGGCAUCCCAAAAAAGGUAUUAGUAUGUGCCAACCACUUCCAACCUGACUGUUUCAACAACUUGAAACAGUUUACAUUGGGAUUCGCUGGGAGACUUAGCCUGAAAACGGAUGCAGUUCCAACUUUGCGCGGAGAACCAGCGGAGAAGGCGUUUGACAGUAAACAGUUGCCAGCAACAAGAGAUGUUGGAUGUCAGACCGAGCCACCAAAGAAAUGCAGCGUUGGCACACAACUGUCAAUGAGGAGUCUUCAACCACAUUACAAAAGUAGAGUUGUCCAAACUACAAUGUCUUCUGAGGAUUUUGGCAUGUCCACUGCUGCUUUUAAAGAGCCGCUUCAUGUUCUAAGCUCCACACCAAUAGGGCCAGCAUCUAAGAGAUGGCCUCAGGAGGAAGAGGAUGAGGAUUCUCUCAUGCACAGCACAGUAAAUGCUUCUGUUGGACUGGACUUAACCUAUGAUUCUGAAAACUCUGUGACAGCUUUGACCGAGUCAACAUCUAUGUCGGAUUCUCCAAGUACCUCCACACACGACAUAAUAAAAUACAUCGUCUUCGAGGACUGUCUACUGCAGCUUUUCGAAAUGUGUCCUGUAUGCAAGCAUCCAUGCACUGUUUAAACUAGAGCUGGGCGUUAAGAACCUCAUGAUUCGUUUCAAUUUAGAUUCUUUAGGUUGCGAGUCGACUCAAUAUUGAUUCUUUAGCGUUGCAAUUCAAUUCGGUAAUGAUUUAAAUGUUUCGAUAUCGAUUCAGUAAGGAGUAAAAAUACACAAAUAAAAGUAGAUUUUGACAAUUUUUAAAUAUUUAUUUUUGAUGCCAUGUAAAAAUGUCACAUUACAUUUUUUAAGCAAUAAAACAUCUGAAAAUAAAAAUUUGCACAUAACUUGUUUGUAUAUAUGCAGUACAAAAGUAAAAAAUAUGGCAGUUGUGCAUAAAGCGUGAAAAGGUAAAGUGCAUGUAAACCUAAAUUUUUUAUUUGCUCGUAAAAAUUGUAAUAACAAAAUGCACAAUAACUUAUUUGUUCAUAUGGAGUACAAAAGUUAAAACAUGUGCACCUAUACUUAUUUAUUUGACCUUUUGUUUUUUUUGUUUUUUUUUUAAAAGUAGGGUUACUAUUAUUAUUUGUAGGGUGUUUAAGUUAAACCUUAUGAAGUAACAUGUUUGCAGCAUUGUGAGACAAGCCAGUACCGGUACUUUGUUAAACCUUCAUCAAACAUUCAUUAAUUGCGUCUGUCAACAAGUUCGCUAUAUUGCGCUCUCUCUGUAUGGCUUCAGUGUAGGGGGCUCUAGUCUGCAGAACAUUUCACACAAAUUCCCGCUCGUUAGAAAUGAAAUGGGAAGUUACGUACGUAGGGGUCAGUCGCUCUUUCUGUCGACUUCAAUGACUCCAAAACCGCUGUAUUAACUCCGUGUACAGUUCCGGGACGGUGACUUCUGGCAUGUUUUCGUGUUGGAAUUGCGUAUCGCGGUUCGAGUGUCUGUUGUUCAUUUCUGUGUUCUGGAUUUACAGGGGAAUCCAAAAUGACCCCAAACAUCAUUUUAAAAGUAGAAGUCGCUCGCUUCACGCUGCUCCUGCAGCCACUAUUUGCUUCAGUAGCCAUUGUUUGGCUUUCGUCCAUACAACGCGAACCACGCGCAAAGCGCCUCACAGUGGCCAGGAGUUUAAAUCAAAAGACAAGAGACAUUUAUCAAAAUACAACUGUGCACCUGUUGUGAGUACUUCCAAAGUUGGAAAAGCCAGCCUCUUAUGGACACACCAGCUGGAAACUUGCAGCUUUCUGCGGCAGUGUACAUCAGUGGAGCUUCUUUCAUCAAAGGCCAUAGAGUGUUCAAAGCGACGGAUUUGCAAGCUUUUCGGUUCAACACCUUCCGUUGGCAUGCCAGAAUGUUCAUUGAGUUAGUUAUUAUCCACACAUGGAAGAUUAAGCAGGAUGUGAUGCUGCAGCAGCUGCACCAAAAAGAAAAGCUAAGCUUGGUGGUGACAUGAGGGCCGACUCGUCAGGACACUGCAAAAUAUGGAAGUUAUACUUUGAUGGACCUCGAGACAAACACUGUAAUUGAUCAGCAGUUUGUUCAGAGCAACAGGUGUUGGCAGGAGCUACCACAUGGAGAAGAAAUGCCUGUGGAAGAUUCUGAAGCUGUUGAAUGAACAUGGCAUUGAGGUUGAUUAUAUCAUCAUCCUCAAAUUCAGAAUUUUUUUAAGGGACAAUAACAUCAUGCAAUUUUGAUGUUUGUCAUAUGGAAAAAGGUAUAGCUCUUGUUUUUCAAGUUGGUGUAUUGAUUAAGUACUAGUUAGGGCUGCACGACAUUGGGGGGAAAAAUGACAUUGCGAUUUUAUUUUAUUUUUUCCCUUAACCUGUGAUAUGUAUUAUUGAGAUGUGAAAUAAUACAGGGUCAGGGUUGAGAAUGUUCAUUUUCUGCACGAACUUGUUCAAAGUUCAGUUUAUUGCUCCAAAAAUAAACUUGUUCAGAUCAUAGUUCAUAAUUAAAAAUUUUGAAGUAAGUUCAUUGGUCCAAAAACGAACUAGUUCAUAGUUGUUGUUGUUUUUUUUUCCCUCAAUAUUUUUCUGAUGGGCUACUACCCUCAAAAUACUGGCAUUUCAUUUCCCCAUGUUGCCACCCAUUCAGUCCAUACUAAUAGCUAGCUGCAGCUUUUAUCCUACAAUUGCCAAAUUAUGAGGAAAAACGUGUUUCUUGAAUGUCUUUUUUUAAAAUUGGGAAUUAAAUCAAAAACAGGACUUUUGUCCUUAAUGUGCAAAUAAAAACGCGCAACACAGUACGACAGGAACAAUGGUGAAAGGACUGAUCAUUUUGCAUUCCUCGCAGCUGUGGCUGACUACAGUAACAAAAUACUUUAUCUACUCUUUAACUAAAGCAUUCUGAUACAAAUAAGUUUUCCUAGUUAUCCAUGUUUACAAUUAUGUACAGUAUUACAAAAGAAUACAUUCACUCUCAUUUAUGGAGUGUCCCUAAACGCACCUGUGCACUCACACAGCUGCUGCGUGCCUGCCUAGUUUCAUUCUGAAGAGUGGAAUAGGAAAUGCAGCAAGUGUACAUUCUCUCUAUUAGCAUGUCCAAACAGGUCUCUCUGCUGGUCACGUUUAAUAUUACAGUUGAUUCACUAUAUUUUAGAACAUCAACAUCGUAGCAGAACUUACGAUGUGACUUGGGCACAAGUACAUCGCGAUGACGAAGCUCAAACAAAAUAUUGUGUGUGAUGCAAUUAGUUAGUGCUUCAGCUUUAUAACAAGAAGGUCAGUUUCAUGUCCAGCUUGAGACCUCCAACAGGGUGUUAAUGGUUGUUUUGUUUACCCUGUUUUUGUCAAGUGGUUGAACAGGAAUGAAUUUUGUAUAGAGAAACUCCCUUUUAGACUUAUGAUCCACACACACUUUUGAUCGUCGGUUAAUGUUAUUGUACUUACUUGAAGGAAUCACAAAGAAGAUUGAAACGCUCAGCAAUAAAAAGGACUGCCAACCACCUUUAUUGGACUGCGGCAUCAUCAAAACCUCGGCCAGAAUGAAUGGCAAAGUGGACCUCCCCUCUGAAUCAUAUACAGGCUCUUCAUACUCAUGACCCAUAAUUCCCACAAUGCCUACACCCAAUUCAGCCAAUGACUGACAAGAGUAAAUGUCUAUCAGCAGGUUUGUUUUCAUUGAAAUGGUUGCACAGAAUAACUAUAAUCCUUUUCAUUGGCAAUGAUUAUGAGAUUAAAUGAAGAUUCAUUAAUUAGUACGUAAUGCUUCAAGACAAAGAAAAAUUGCUUAUGGUAAAAAUUCUAUAUCAACAUAUACCGUAAUUUCUCGUGUAUAAUGCACAUUUCUUUCCCCAAAAAUUGUCAAAAGUCAAUAGUGCGCAUUAUACAGUCUUUUUAAUUUUCUCCUCUACCUUUCACAUUUUAUAAAUGUAUGCUGACAUCUUGAAGGUAUGAAAAAGCUUUACACUUUCAUUCUAGUAUGCCACCUAGUGGUAAUGAAAAACGUGUAACCAUUCCAAUAUGACAACGGUACAUAUGACUGCAUAUACGUACAGUUGUGCUCAUAAGUUUAUAUACCCAGGCAGAAUUAGUGAAUUUUUUUGUAUUUAUUUCUUUUGAUACGACUGAUGACUGAACAACAACCAUCAUUAAUUUCUUUAUGGUUAUGUUUUGUUUAAUAAUGCUUUUCUGAAAUGCUUGACAGUUUAAUUUGAAUCACAUUAAAAUAAAAUUAAAUGUAUUUCGCCUUGUCCUUUAUUUUUUAUUUAAAGAAUUGUACACAUCUUACGAAUUCUGCCUUGGUCAUCAAACAUGAGCACAACUGCGUUGUCUCAUUUACUAAAUAAAAGUAGGGCUGUGAAUUUCAAAAUAAGAGCAAGUAAAUAGAAAAUGUGUUCAAAUAAAGUGCUUAACUUCAGAAUAAUUACUUGAAAAAACUAACAAAAUACAGAUAAUGUUUUGAUCAUACGGGUAGAAGCAAAAUCAUGCAUUGUAAAAAUGCAUUAUACAUAGGUUGAAGGGUUUUCCUGAAUUUUGAGGUCAACUUUGGGGGUGCACAAAUGGGUGCACAUUAUACACAAGAAAUUACAGUACUUGAA
Molecule: long non-coding RNA, 4748 nt
Organism: Phycodurus eques (leafy seadragon)
Lineage: Eukaryota; Metazoa; Chordata; Actinopteri; Syngnathiformes; Syngnathidae
Exons: 8
Source: RefSeq, a predicted model, not a curated record